This 165-nucleotide ribosomal RNA is filed under the name uncultured bacterium. RNAcentral's name for it is "partial 16S ribosomal RNA". It matches the Rfam family "Bacterial small subunit ribosomal RNA", at positions 355 to 511 of the family's 1533-position model. The record is from RNAcentral.
UAAGGAAUCUUCGGCAAUGGACGAAAGUCUGACCGAGCAACGCCGCGUGAGUGAAGAAGGUUUUCGGAUCGUAAAACUCUGUUGGUAGAGAAGAACGUUGGUGAGAGUGGAAAGCUCAUCAAGUGACGGUAACUACCCAGAAAGGGACGGCUAACUACGUGCCCG